UAUUGGACAGAGGUACUCGGAAGCUAUACUGGUGGGAGGUAGUAGUUAGCAUUUAGCAGGUACCCUGAAUUAAUCGAGGUGCACAUAAGCUAGGCAGGAACAACCGGGUACAAAAUAAUUAAAAAGGAGAUUAGAGUGAGACUAAACGUCUGUUUGCUAAUAUUGCAACAUUCUCAAUGAUGCAGAAUUCUCCAUGUGAUCCUUGCAUGGUGCAUUGCUGCUUGCACUGGUGUGCCUUGUGCCAGGAGCAUAGGGAGAUGAAAAGCCGUCUGUCAGAUAAUGCUGCUAUGCCAAUGACAAUAGUCAAUCCUCCCCCUGUCCAGGAGAUGAAUGCUGCUCCUGACAACUGUGAAUUUGUAGCUUCCUCAGCAAAUAUCAGAUAAUGCUGCGAUGCCAAUGACAAUAGUCAAUCCUCCCCCUGUCCAGGAGAUGAAUGCUGCUCGUGACAACCGUGAAUCUGUACCUUCCUCAGCAAAUAGCACCCAACAAACCAACCUCGAGAUGCAAGCUCUAUGAAAACUAAAAAUCAAUUUACUACAUCAGAUUGCUGCUUAAAGAGUUCGCAUGUGUCUCCCAGUUAUACAGGAAAAGAUGGUCAUUGUUUUAGAGGCAUUUAGAUCUUCAAAUUCUUGUUGUGAUGAAAUUGGCCUUUUUGACGCACAGCUUCGGCCAAUAAUGUAUUUUGAACUGUAGAUGAGUAACAGUAUUUGCACUCUUUUGUUUAGAGUGUUUCAGAAAUCUUUUAAAUUUAUUUAGAGUCAAAGAUAAAAAUACCAACUUGUAAUAAAAAAAAUCUUGUAUUCUGCUUUCUAUAGUACAUUCAUUUCAUGUCCUCUUCUUUUCUAUAUCGCUGCUCUCCCU
Molecule: long non-coding RNA, 861 nt
Filed under: Nicotiana benthamiana
Lineage: Eukaryota; Viridiplantae; Streptophyta; Magnoliopsida; Solanales; Solanaceae
Description: long non-coding RNA (NBEN_LNC016166)
Source: RNAcentral